GUUCACUUCCUGCAGAGCCUCGACAAAGCAGCGGAGAAAUGAAGAAGAAAUAAAUCAGCGAUUACAGACGGCCAUGUUUAACAAUUCCAUGGGUGCAAAUUUGGGGCAAGCAGCGUCAGGCACUAAAGACUCUCCGGUGGCCUCACAACCUACCACUGGGCCCCGGGGUCAAAUGCCUUCGACAACUGACGACUCUCUCCAUCAGGAGGAUCAACAACACAACAGAGCUCAUCCGCUGUCAAACAUCCAAGAGCAACAGCAUCAGGCGGGUUUCAGUUUACUCUCUGCUAUUGCUGAGCAACCAGGUCAACCACAUUUCAUCAGUGGACAUCUUUUUAAUCAGAUACCACAGAGGUCACAACUCAUCACAGGGCCCCGGGGUCAAAUGCCUUCGACAACUGACGACUCUCUCCAUCAGGAGGAUCAACAACACAACAGAGCUCAUCCGCUGUCAAACAUCCAAGAGCAACAGCAUCAGGCGGGUUUCAGUUUACUCUCUGCUAUUGCUGAGCAACCAGGUCAACCACAUUUCAUCAGUGGACAUCUUUUUAAUCAGAUACCACAGAGGUCACAACUCAUCACAGUCUAAUAGCUCCUGCUACUGUGAUUACCUCCCCUCCCGGGCAAUGGAUUAUUCUGGGAUUGCUCCUUUGGCUGCUGGGCAGUGACGACUGCUACUAUCACAGAGGAUGCAGCAUGAUGAUCAGGUACUCAUGCAGUGUGAUCACCUGCCAUGCAGAGGGCUUUCUCAGGCAAGAAAAAAGCCAGUGGAAUCUGCUUUUAUAUCAACCAAGGCUGGUGUGCAGAUGUCAGAGUGUUAAUGAAAACAUGCAGUCCUAACCUGGAAUCACUUCUUAUAAAAUGUAAACCUUUUUACUGCCCAUAAGAAUUCUCCUUUGUCAUUCUUGCAGAAGUCUGUAUUCCAUCCCAGUCAUCCAAGCAUGCAUGCUAUCACAGAUCAG
Molecule: long non-coding RNA, 962 nt
Organism: Pygocentrus nattereri (red-bellied piranha)
Lineage: Eukaryota; Metazoa; Chordata; Actinopteri; Characiformes; Serrasalmidae
Source: Ensembl